UGCGGCCUAUCAGCUUGUUGGUGGGGUGAUGGCCUANCAAGGCGACGACGGGUAGCCGGCCUGAGAGGGCGACCGGCCACACUGGGACUGAGACACGGCCCAGACUCCUACGGGAGGCAGCAGUGGGGAAUAUUGCGCAAUGGGCGGAAGCCUGACGCAGCGACGCCGCGUGGGGGAUGACGGCCUUCGGGUUGUAAACCUCUUUCGCCAUCGACGAAGGUUCUGUGGUUGUGAGGCUGCAGGGUUGACGGUAGGUGGAGAAGAAGCACCGGCCAACUACGUGCCAGCAGCCGCGGUAAUACGUAGGGUGCGAGCGUUGUCCGGAAUUAUUGGGCGUAAAGAGCUCGUAGGCGGUGUGUCGCGUCGGCCGUGAAAACCUGCAGCUUAACUGUGGGCGUGCGGUCGAUACGGGCAUCACUGGAGUUCGGCAGGGGAGACUGGAAUUCCUGGUGUAGCGGUGAAAUGCGCAGAUAUCAGGAGGAACACCGGUGGCGAAGGCGGGUCUCUGGGCCGAUACUGACGCUGAGGAGCGAAAGCGUGGGGAGCGAACAGGAUUAGAUACCCUGGUAGUCCACGCCGUAAACGGUGGGCGCUAGGUGUGGGGGCCAUUCCACGGUCUCUGUGCCGCAGCUAACGCAUUAAGCGCCCCGCCUGGGGAGUACGGCCGCAAGGCUAAAACUCAAAGGAAUUGACGGAAUCGA
RNAcentral lists this ribosomal RNA (701 nucleotides) under uncultured bacterium. RNAcentral describes it as "bacterial SSU rRNA". It matches the Rfam family "Bacterial small subunit ribosomal RNA", at positions 232 to 922 of the family's 1533-position model. The record is from RNAcentral.